GAUGAAGAACGUAGUAAAAUGCGAUAAGUAGUGUGAAUUGCAGAAUUCAGUGAAUCAUCGAAUCUUUGAACGCACAUUGCGCCCCUUGGUAUUCCAUGGGGCAUGCCUGUUCGAGCGUCAUUACAACCCUCAAGCUCAGCUUGGUGUUGGGCCCCGCCGCCCCGGCGGGCCCUAAAGUCAGUGGCGGUGCCGUCCGGCUCCGAGCGUAGUAAUUCUUCUCGCUCUGGAGGUCCGGUCGUGUGCUCGCCAGCAACCCCCAAUUUUUUUCAGGUUGACCUCGGAUCAGGUAGGGAUACCCGCUGAACUUAAGCAUAUCAAUAAGCGGAGGA
Molecule: unclassified non-coding RNA, 329 nt
Filed under: soil metagenome
Description: partial contains 5.8S ribosomal RNA, internal transcribed spacer 2, and large subunit ribosomal RNA
Rfam family: 5.8S ribosomal RNA (bases 1-120)
Source: RNAcentral